Molecule: ribosomal RNA, 1839 nt
Filed under: Ceratomyxa gracillima
Lineage: Eukaryota; Metazoa; Cnidaria; Myxozoa; Bivalvulida; Ceratomyxidae
Description: SSU rRNA
Source: RNAcentral
AGUGGUCUAUGCUCGUCUCAAAGAUUAAGCCAUGCAUGUCUAAGUUCACAACAUUAGUUGAAACUGCGAAGCGCUCAGUAAAUCAGUUAUUGUCUCUUCGAUCGUAGUACCACAUCGGAUAACUGUGGCAAAUCUAGAGCUAAUACGUGCGAAAAUUACUACCUAGUAGUAGCAUUUAUUAGUAUCAACAUAUUUAUAUGUAGGUGAAUCUAGAUAACUUUGCAUAUCAUUCAAUUGAGUGAUAGUUCGAUCGAAUUUCUGCCCUAUCAUUUUGUCGGUGAGGUAGUGGCUCACCGAGGAUGCAACGGGUAACGGGGAAUCAGGGUUCGAUUCCGGAGAGGGAGCCUGAGAAACGGCUACCACAUCCAAGGAAGGCAGCAGGCGCGCAAAUUACCCAAUCCAGACACUGGGAGGUAGUGACGAGAAAUAUCGAAUUAAACUUUGUUUAAUACCGAAACAUACUUGAUUUAAUAAAUCUCGUUUUUAUUGGAGGGCAAGUCUGGUGCCAGCAGCCGCGGUAAUUCCAGCUCCAAUAGUGUACAUCAAAAUUGUUGCACUUAAAACGCUCGUAGUUGGAUUGCAGUCUACUAGUAUAACUUGUCUUUCAUAGCAAGUUUACUAUAGAAAAUUUUGCAGGACUUGUUCAAUUACUUCACUGUAAUUGAACGAAUAUCCUGCAGAGCGUGCCUUGAAUAAAGCAUAGUGCUCAAAACAGGCGUAAGCUCGAGUGUAAUAGCAUGGAACGAAUAUAUACCACUCUCAAGUGGUUGAUUAAAAGGAACAUUAGAGGGCAUUAGUACUUGAUGGCGAGAGGUGAAAUUCUUAGACCCGUCAAAGACUGACUAUUGCGAAAGCAUUUGCCAAGAAUGUUUUCAUUAAUCAAGAACGAAAGUUAAAGGUUCGAAGACGAUCAGAUACCGUCCUAGUUUUAACUGUAAACUAUGCCAACAAGGAAUUAUCCUGCUAUCAAGUUGGUUAGUUUCCACGCGAAAGCGAAAGUUUUCAGGCUGUGGGGAUAGUAUAGUUGCAAGGCUGAAAUUUCAAGAAAUUGACGGAGAGGCACCACCAGGAGUGGAGCCUGCGGCUUAAUUUGACUCAACACGGGGCAACUUACCAGGUCCAGACAUUGGAAGGAUUGACAGACUGACCAGAUCUUUCAUGAUUCGAUGAUUGGUGGUGCAUGGCCGUUCUUAGUUGGUGGAGUGAUCUGUCAGGUUAAUUCCGGUAACGAACGAGAUUUUGGUCCCUACUUUCCUUCUCUUCAYUGUAAGAGUGAUUAGGGAGACUUUACUUGCAAAAGUAAGGAAGUAAAGCAAUAACAGGUCUGUGAUGCCCUUCGAUGUCCUGGGCUGCACGCGCGCUACAAUGAAAACUCCAAAAAGUUCCUAUCUUGAGAGAGACGGGUAAUCUUUCAAAUGUUUUCAUGCUAUGGAUUGAGCCUUGUAAUUAUUGCUCAUGAAAGAGGAAUUCCUUGUAAGCGCGAGUCACCAGCUCGUGUUGAAUACGUCUCUGCCUCUUGUACACACCGCCCGUCGCUACUACCGAUUGAAUCUAUUUCCAAGAAGUUUGGAUUUUUCAGCAUUUAUGUUGAAAGAGAGAAAUUUCAAGGAAAUAAAUUUGGAGGAAGUAAAAGUCGUAACAAGGUUUCCGUAGGUGAACCUGCGGAAGGAUCAUCAAUGUUAAUGUUUAUUAUUAUUAUCAUUGAAUGGAGAACUUGUYGUUCYYUAUUCAAAAUUCCUUUCCUUCWGCUGUAUGUGACAGURUGAAUGGGGAGAAAACUGUUAUUUUAUGUUUGUGUGUUAAAAAUAYAAGUGUACAACCGUUAACGGUGGAUCACUC